UAGCCCACCGGGGCUGCGGAUACCUGCUUUUAAUUUUU
Molecule: non-coding RNA, 38 nt
Filed under: Oryctolagus cuniculus (rabbit)
Lineage: Eukaryota; Metazoa; Chordata; Mammalia; Lagomorpha; Leporidae
Description: XIST RNA A repeat
Rfam family: XIST RNA A repeat
Source: Rfam by way of RNAcentral